This 703-nucleotide ribosomal RNA is filed under the name Candida albicans. RNAcentral's name for it is "eukaryotic LSU rRNA". It matches the Rfam family "Eukaryotic large subunit ribosomal RNA", at positions 100 to 822 of the family's 3401-position model. The record is from RNAcentral. Lineage: Eukaryota; Fungi; Ascomycota; Pichiomycetes; Serinales; Debaryomycetaceae.
GGCAAAAGCUCAAAUUUGAAAUCUGGCUCUUUCAGAGUCCGAGUUGUAAUUUGAAGAAGGUAUCUUUGGGUCUGGCUCUUGUCUAUGUUUCUUGGAACAGAACGUCACAGAGGGUGAGAAUCCCGUGCGAUGAGAUGAUCCAGGCCUAUGUAAAGUUCCUUCGAAGAGUCGAGUUGUUUGGGAAUGCAGCUCUAAGUGGGUGGUAAAUUCCAUCUAAAGCUAAAUAUUGGCGAGAGACCGAUAGCGAACAAGUACAGUGAUGGAAAGAUGAAAAGAACUUUGAAAAGAGAGUGAAAAAGUACGUGAAAUUGUUGAAAGGGAAGGGCUUGAGAUCAGACUUGGUAUUUUGUAUGUUACUUCUUCGGGGGUGGCCUCUACAGUUUAUCGGGCCAGCAUCAGUUUGGGCGGUAGGAGAAUUGCGUUGGAAUGUGGCACGGCUUCGGUUGUGUGUUAUAGCCUUCGUCGAUACUGCCAGCCUAGACUGAGGACUGCGGUUUAUACCUAGGAUGUUGGCAUAAUGAUCUUAAGUCGCCCGUCUUGAAACACGGACCAAGGAGUCUAACGUCUAUGCGAGUGUUUGGGUGUAAAACCCGUACGCGUAAUGAAAGUGAACGUAGGUGGGGGCCCGUAUGGGUGCACCAUCGACCGAUCCUGAUGUCUUCGGAUGGAUUUGAGUAAGAGCAUAGCUGUUGGGACCCGAAAG